GCGAUCUUUCUGCAGACUGCGGCCGGCCUCUGGUGGUCACUCUCGCGCUGUCUGGAUUCACGCAGUACUCUCUCAUUGCCAUCUGUUCCUCCACCUCAACCUCUCUCUAUCUUUCUAUUUAUCGUCGCCAUCCAAUCUUUGUGUCGCCCCUCAGUCUCGCCUUUGGACAGAACCAAUCUCUCCGCCUCUCAACCUCGCCGCUGCACAGAAGCAAUCCGCUGCCCCUCAUCCUUCCCGCAUCACAGAAGCAAUCCAUCAGGAACAAGUAAACCAAAACACCAAGGAAAAUGGAUGCUGGUCUGAAUGGAGAUUCUAUGGAAAAGCUUAAGGGUGUGCAAAUUACCUCUCUUGAUGAUGAUGAUGAUGAUGAUUUUGAAGGACAAGAAAAUGAAGAAGAACAAGAACCAACUCUUGAAGAAGAAGAAGACGAUGAUGAUGACGAAGAAGAAGAACCAGUAACCCUAGGUUUUGUGGAGAAGCCUAAACAUUCUUGGUCUCUUCUUCGGCAAUUAUUUCCUAGCAAGGCUGGUGGUGUGCCGGCAUGGUUAGAUCCAGUCAAUGUACCAUCUGGAAGGUCCUGUGCUUGUGACAUAUGUGGAAAUCCCCUUCAAUUUUUGCUUCAGGUCUAUGCACCAAUAUCUGAGAAGGAAUCAACAUUUCAUCGAACAUUAUUCUUAUUUAUGUGCCCCAAAAUGUCGUGUCUUCGUCGUUAUCAACAUGAACAAUGGAAGUGCAGGUCAAAGAACUCAUCUCGAAGUGUGAAGGUUUUCCGUUGUCAAUUGCCUCACCUUAAUCCUUUUUACUCAAGUGAGGCCCCAAGACUUGAUGGAACGGACAAACCUUCUAGAUCUGGAGUUGCACUUUGUAAUUGGUGUGGUACCUGGAAAGGAGAUCAAUUUUGUAGUAGUUGCAAAAAAGCACGUUACUGCUCGCAGCAACACCAGGUAAUAUGAUGUCUUAAGUUCACAUUAGUUUAAUUUAUGACAUCCAUUCCUAAUUUAUGUGCAUUUUCCUCUUUCUUUCUUUUCAAAAUUUUCAGGUUGUGCACCGUAAAAUUAAUUGUCAGCAACUGAGUCUUUCUUCUCAAUUACCUAACUCUAGCUCCAGCUGUGGUGAAACCACUUCAUUGGAGAUAAUUAAAGGUUAAUAUAUUCAUUAUGAACGUAAGAAAUUACACUGAUUUACUUUAUUUUAUAGUGUAUACAUGUUACCAUACUUUUUCUUCUUGUAUAAUAAUUUUGAUCAUAAAAGGCAAUUGCAUUUGAUAUGGUUGAUCUUAUACAUACACCUAAUACAACAAUGCCUAUUUAUCUGGCAUAUAGUAAUGCCUGAAACUUGGGUGCUUAAGGAAUGCAUAGUUGAUUACAUUUUAUAUAAUAAAAUUGAGAAUCACAAGUACUUGGUAUCUGAUGUGUUUAUGCACACAUCUGUGUAUAGAAUUAACAAUGGCCUUGUGUUGGGUUUAUUUAAUGAAGUUUAUGCAUCAUAAAUAGUUUUGUAAAAUUUUACUUCUGAUUAGAUUUGGUGUUUUCAAACAGCUGCUAGCAAUGCUCUUUGGCUAGAGUACGAGAUAAUAAAUGAGGAUGAAAGUGAAUUGCAUGCUGAAAUGUCUGAUGAUAAGGCAUAUGAUAAGCCGUUGAUAUCAAAGAAGAGAACUGAUGACUCAAUGAUGUCAUUAGUGGACUGUUUCAAGGUGUCAAUUGUCGAUAUUAGUAAUGGAAAAAAAAUUUUUAAAUACUUUUUGAGUUCCCUCCAUGCUUAUUUACUGUUGGUAACAGGGGGAUAGUGACAGAAAAUGCUGGGCUUCUUUCCAAGAGCGUAUAGCCAAAGCUCCAGAACAAGUGUUGAGGUAAUAAUGAACUCAUCAAAUUCACUGUUUGUAUGCAUUUAUGGUCCUCAAUAUGACAUGGAAAAUUCACUGUUUAUAGACUCAUCAAGCUCUGCAUUUAGUGUAUAAUUUAUUGGCUAUCAUAUGGAAGCUGGAAAUGCAAAGCAAGGGGAUCCCAUUUGGUGGAUGAUUUUAGAGGCAUGAUGGUUCGUAAUUCCAGAGAAACCACAAGUUGUCAGCCACACAUGCAAAUUUAUGCACAAAUGAUUAUUUAAUCCAGGGUUACAAACAAAUAUUUGGGUUAUAGUAUUUAUCCAAUAUAUUUGUGCUCUAUAUGUCAUCAUAUAUCAUUUGGGACCAAAAUGAUUUAAGUGAACAAUUUCUUAAUAAGUGUUGGGAGUUAGUAUUGUGAGAUACACAAAUGUUGUAAUCAUGGGUCAAAUGGUUUGCUCUGCUGGAUGGCAGCAAGCUUCAUAUCUGCUGUAAAUUAUAAUCUGAAAAGUUGGUUGACUUUUGAUAUAGUGUUUUGGUGGUUUCUUACCUAGUUGAAUCACAUUUUCUUUCCUAUUUGUAUUUCACUGUUUGUUUUCCUUGCUGGUUUCUUUAUUGAUUUGUAUGUCAUACUACAAUUUCCAAUGUUCUAAUGUUUGUAUAAUUGUAUACUAUAACAGAUAUUGCAGGAAUGCCAAUGCAAAACCCCUCUGGCCGACGUCUAGUGGCCGGCCAUCUAAGGAUGAUAUUCCUAACUGCAGUUAUUGUGGCAGUUCCUCAGAUUUUGAAUUUCAGGUCUUGCCCCAGUUGCUUUACUAUUUCGGCGUGAAGAAUGACGAUGUGGAUUCUCUUGAUUGGGCAACUAUCGUUGUGUAUACGUGCAGAGCCUCUUGUGAGGCUAGUGUAGCUUACAAACAAGAGUUUGCUUGGGUUCAACUCUGACGACCUUUUGCUGAUGUAGUUUAUCCAAUUUACAUGGGACAUUGUGGAUCUUGAAUCUCCAUUCUCAUUAUAAUCGUAUUCGAUGCUUUUAGUCCAAAUCGCUUUCCAGAAUAACCAAAAUGCCUCGGACGCGCAACAACCUGAAAUGAGUUGUAACCAUAUAAUACAUUUUAAAUAUGCGGCCUUAGCAGUUCAUAACUCUCUUGCUCUAUAAUUCAAUUUUGAUAGAAUUGGGCUUAAGUGUAACCAAUUUUAUAAAAUUAAAACUGUAAGAUUCUAAAUGAAUUUUUGCG
RNAcentral lists this unclassified non-coding RNA (3054 nucleotides) under Hevea brasiliensis (rubber tree). The record is from RNAcentral. Lineage: Eukaryota; Viridiplantae; Streptophyta; Magnoliopsida; Malpighiales; Euphorbiaceae.